RNAcentral lists this ribosomal RNA (470 nucleotides) under uncultured bacterium. RNAcentral describes it as "bacterial SSU rRNA". It matches the Rfam family "Bacterial small subunit ribosomal RNA", at positions 21 to 518 of the family's 1533-position model. The record is from RNAcentral.
GGUUCAGAACGAACGCUGGCGGCAUGGAUUAGGCAUGCAAGUCGAACGAAGCAGCAAUGCUUAGUGGCGCAAGGGUGAGGAACACGUGAGUGACCUACCCGCAAGUUUGGAACAGCUCCUGGAAACGGGAAUUAAUACCGGAUGUGAUCAUGAAGCUGCAUGGUUUCAUGAUUAAAGCAGCAAUGCGCUUGCGGAUGGGCUCGCGUCCCAUUAGCUAGUUGGUGAGGUAACGGCCCACCAAGGCCAUGAUGGGUAGCUGGUCUGAGAGGACGACCAGCCACACUGGGACUGAGAACUGCCCAGACUCCUACGGGAGGCUGCAGUCGAGAAUUUUGGGCAAUGGACGAAAGUCUGACCCAGCAAUGCCGCGUGCGGGAUGAAGGUCUUCGGAUUGUAAACCGCUGUUUGGAGGGACGAAAAUUGACGGUACUUCCAGAGGAAGCCACGGCUAACUACGUGCCAGCCGCCGC